UGGUGGGCUUCCAACUCAGUGGAAACAACAUAACACCGUAAGAUAAUCUGCUGAGAGCCAAACAGACAUCUCAAGUGCUACCAUGAGCACUGACGCAGAGAUGGAGGCCUAUGGCCCUGCGGCCAUCUACCUCCGGAAACCAGAGAAGGAGAGGAUUGAGGCUCAGGCAGCUCCUUUUGAUGCCAAAACGGCCUACUUUGUGGCAGAGCCAGAGGAGAUGUAUCUGAAGGGAAAACUUAUCAAAAGGGAGGGUGGCAAAGCCACUGUUGAGACAGUAACAGGAAAGACUUUAACUGUGAAAGAGGAGGACAUCCAUCCAAUGAACCCUCCCAAGUUUGAUAAAAUUGAGGACAUGGCCAUGAUGACCCACCUUAAUGAACCCGCUGUGCUGUACAACCUCAAAGAACGUUUUGCAUCAUGGAUGAUCUAUACUUACUCUGGGCUGUUUUGUGUUGUCGUGAACCCAUACAAGUGGCUUCCGGUGUACGAUGCUCAGGUUGUCAAUGCCUACAGAGGCAAGAAGAGAAUUGAGGCUCCCCCUCAUAUCUUUUCCAUCUCUGACAAUGCCUAUCAGUUCAUGCUCACUGAUCGUGAGAAUCAGUCUAUCCUUAUCACUGGAGAAUCUGGUGCAGGAAAGACUGUCAACACCAAGCGUGUCAUCCAGUACUUUGCAACAAUUGCAGUGGCUGGAGGAAAGAAGUCUGAGGGAAGCUCAGGAAAAAUGCAGGGUUCACUGGAAGAUCAAAUCAUUGCAGCCAACCCUCUGCUGGAGGCCUAUGGUAAUGCCAAGACUGUGAGGAAUGAUAACUCUUCUCGCUUUGGUAAAUUUAUCAGAAUCCACUUUGGUUCUACUGGUAAACUUGCUUCAGCUGAUAUUGAAACAUAUCUGCUGGAGAAGUCUCGUGUCACCUUCCAGUUGUCUGCUGAGAGGAGCUACCAUAUCUUUUACCAGCUGAUGACGGGCCACAAACCUGAGCUCCUUGAGGCUCUUCUUAUCACCACCAACCCGUAUGAUUAUCCAAUGAUCAGCCAGGGUGAAAUCACUGUCAAGAGCAUCAAUGACGUUGAGGAGUUCAUUGCAACUGAUACUGCCAUUGACAUAUUGGGAUUCAGUGCUGAGGAAAAAAUGGGCAUCUACAAGCUAACUGGUGCUGUGAUGCAUCAUGGUAACAUGAAGUUUAAGCAGAAGCAGCGAGAGGAGCAGGCAGAACCUGACGGCACAGAGGUGGCUGAUAAAAUCGCCUACCUGAUGGGCCUAAACUCAGCUGACAUGCUGAAAGCUCUGUGCUACCCAAGAGUCAAGGUUGGAAAUGAGAUGGUCACCAAAGGUCAGACUGUCCCACAGGUUAACAAUGCUGUCAGUGCUCUGUGCAAGUCUGUCUAUGAGAAAAUGUUCUUGUGGAUGGUCAUCCGCAUCAAUGAGAUGUUGGACACAAAGCAGCCAAGACAGUUCUUCAUUGGAGUGCUGGACAUUGCUGGAUUUGAAAUCUUUGAUUACAACAGCUUGGAGCAGCUCUGCAUCAACUUCACCAAUGAGAAACUGCAACAGUUUUUCAAUCACCACAUGUUUGUCCUGGAGCAAGAGGAGUACAAGAAAGAAGGCAUUGAAUGGGAGUUCAUUGACUUUGGCAUGGACUUGGCUGCCUGCAUUGAGCUUAUUGAGAAGCCAAUGGGCAUCUUCUCCAUCCUUGAAGAGGAGUGCAUGUUCCCCAAGGCUACAGACACCUCAUUUAAGAACAAACUGCAUGAUCAGCAUCUUGGCAAGACCAAGGCCUUUGAGAAGCCUAAACCUGCAAAAGGAAAAGCUGAAGCUCACUUUGCCCUGGUUCAUUAUGCUGGAACAGUGGAUUACAACAUAACUGGCUGGCUGGACAAAAACAAGGACCCACUGAACGACUCAGUGGUGCAGCUCUACCAGAAGUCUUCAAACAAACUGCUGUGCUACCUCUAUGCAGCCCAUGCAGGAGCUGAAGAAGCCUCUGGUGGUGCCAAAAAGGGUGGUGGAAAGAAGAAGGGUGGUUCCUUCCAAACUGUGUCAGCACUUUUCAGGGAAAAUCUUGGCAAGCUGAUGACCAAUUUGAGAAGCACUCAUCCACAUUUUGUCCGCUGCUUGAUUCCAAAUGAAUCUAAAACCCCAGGUCUUAUGGAGAACUUCUUGGUCAUCCACCAGCUGAGGUGUAAUGGUGUGCUGGAGGGCAUCAGAAUCUGCAGAAAGGGUUUCCCCAGCAGAAUCCUCUAUGGUGACUUCAAGCAGAGAUACAAAGUAUUGAAUGCCAGUGUCAUCCCUGAGGGACAGUUCAUCGACAACAAGAAAGCUUCAGAGAAGCUGCUUGGUUCCAUUGAUGUUGACCACAGUCAGUACAAGUUUGGACACACUAAGGUGUUCUUCAAAGCUGGUCUGCUGGGUACACUUGAGGAGAUGAGAGAUGAGAAGCUGGCUGAGCUGGUGACCAUGACUCAGGCUCUCUGCAGAGGGUUCCUUAUGCGGAAAGAGUUUGUUAAGAUGAUGGAAAGGAGAGAUGCAAUCUUCACCAUCCAGUACAACGUCCGUUCAUUCAUGAAUGUAAAGAACUGGCCAUGGCUUAAACUCUACUUCAAGAUCAAGCCUCUUCUGAAGAGCGCUGAGACUGAAAAGGAGCUGCAGGAGAUGAAAGGAAACUAUGAGAAGAUGAAAACAGACCUGGCUGCUGCUUUGGCCAAGAAGAAGGAACUGGAGGAGAAAAUGGUUUCUCUGCUGCAGGAAAAGAAUGACCUGCAGCUUCAAGUAGCUGCUGAAACAGAGAAUCUCUCCGAUGCUGAGGAAAGGUGUGAGGGACUCAUUAAGAGUAAAAUCCAGCUGGAGGCCAAACUCAAAGAGACCACUGAGAGACUGGAGGAUGAAGAGGAAAUCAAUGCUGAGCUGACUGCUAAGAAGAGGAAGCUGGAGGAUGAAUGUUCUGAACUGAAGAAGGACAUUGAUGACUUGGAGCUCACCCUGGCUAAAGUGGAGAAGGAGAAACAUGCCACUGAAAACAAGGUGAAAAACCUGACUGAGGAAAUGGCUUCUCAAGAUGAGUCCAUUGCAAAGCUGACCAAGGAGAAGAAAGCCCUCCAAGAGGCCCAUCAACAAACACUGGAUGAUCUCCAGGCAGAGGAAGACAAAGUCAACACUCUGACCAAAGCCAAGACCAAGCUGGAACAGCAAGUGGAUGAUCUUGAAGGUUCAUUGGAGCAAGAGAAGAAGAUCCGCAUGGAUCUUGAGAGAGCCAAGAGGAAGCUGGAAGGAGAUCUGAAACUAGCCCAGGAAUCCAUAAUGGAUCUGGAAAAUGACAAGCAGCAGUCUGAUGAGAAGAUCAAGAAAAAGGACUUUGAAAUCAGUCAGCUCCUCAGCAAGAUUGAAGAUGAACAAUCCCUUGGUGCUCAGCUUCAGAAAAAGAUCAAGGAACUCCAGGCUCGUAUUGAGGAGCUGGAAGAGGAAAUUGAGGCUGAGAGAGCUGCCCGGGCCAAAGUAGAGAAGCAGAGAGCUGAUCUCUCCAGGGAGCUUGAGGAGAUCAGUGAGAGGCUUGAAGAAGCUGGAGGGGCAACAGCUGCUCAGAUUGAGAUGAACAAGAAGCGGGAAGCUGAGUUCCAGAAGCUGAGGAGAGAUCUUGAGGAGUCCACACUGCAGCAUGAAGCUACUGCAGCAGCUCUCCGCAAGAAGCAGGCCGACAGCGUUGCAGAGCUGGGAGAACAGAUCGACAACCUGCAGCGUGUCAAGCAGAAGCUGGAGAAGGAGAAGAGCGAGUACAAGAUGGAGAUUGAUGAUCUCAGCAGCAACAUGGAGGCAGUUGCUAAAUCAAAAGGUAACCUGGAGAAGAUGUGCAGAACUCUUGAGGACCAGCUGAGUGAGCUCAAGGCCAAAAAUGAUGAAAAUGUUCGCCAACUGAAUGACAUCAAUGUACAAAAGGCAAGACUUCAAACGGAAAAUGGUGAAUUUGCUCGCCAGCUUGAGGAAAAAGAAGCUCUAGUUUCUCAGCUGACCAGAGGCAAACAGGCCUUCACUCAGCAGAUUGAGGAGCUGAAGAGACAUGUGGAGGAGGAAGUGAAGGCCAAGAACGCUCUGGCUCAUGCUGUCCAGUCAGCCCGUCAUGACUGUGAUCUGCUCAGAGAGCAGUUUGAGGAGGAGCAGGAGGCCAAGGCUGAGCUGCAGAGAGGAAUGUCCAAGGCCAACAGUGAGGUGGCUCAGUGGAGAACCAAAUAUGAAACUGAUGCCAUCCAGCGCACUGAGGAACUGGAGGAGUCCAAGAAAAAGCUUGCCCAGCGCCUGCAGGAGGCUGAGGAGUCCAUUGAGGCUGUGAACUCCAAGUGUGCCUCUCUGGAGAAGACCAAGCAGAGGCUGCAGGGUGAAGUGGAGGACCUCAUGAUUGAUGUGGAGAGAGCUAAUGCUCUUGCUGCAAACCUGGACAAGAAACAGAGAAACUUUGACAAGGUCCUGGCAGAAUGGAAGCAGAAGUAUGAGGAGAGCCAGGCAGAGCUUGAAGGAGCUCAAAAAGAGGCUCGCUCUCUCAGCACAGAACUGUUCAAGAUGAAGAACUCCUACGAGGAGGCCCUGGAUCAGCUGGAGACCAUGAAGAGGGAGAACAAGAACCUGCAGCAGGAGAUCUCAGACUUGACUGAACAGAUUGGUGAGAAUGGAAAAAGCAUCCAUGAGUUGGAGAAAGCCAAAAAGACUGUUGAAAAUGAAAAGAUUGAACUUCAGACAGCUCUUGAGGAGGCAGAGGGCACUCUAGAACAUGAGGAAUCCAAGAUUCUUAGAGUACAGCUUGAGCUCAACCAGGUCAAAGGUGAGAUUGACAGGAAGCUGGCAGAGAAGGACGAGGAGAUGGAACAGAUCAAGAGGAACAGCCAGAGGGUGAUUGAAUCCAUGCAGAGCACUCUUGAUGCUGAGGUCAGGAGCAGAAAUGAUGCCCUGAGAGUCAAGAAGAAGAUGGAGGGAGACCUGAAUGAGAUGGAGAUUCAGCUCAGCCAUGCCAACAGGCAGGCUGCUGAGGCCCAGAAACAACUCAGGAAUGUUCAGGGACAACUCAAGGAUGCCCAACUGCACCUUGAUGACGCUCUGAGAGGACAAGAAGACAUGAAAGAACAGGUUGCCAUGGUGGAGCGUAGGAAUGGUCUGAUGUUGGCUGAGAUUGAGGAGUUGAGAGCCGCUCUGGAACAGACAGAGAGAGGACGUAAAGUGGCUGAACAGGAGCUGGUGGAUGCCAGUGAACGUGUUGCAUUGCUUCACUCCCAGAACACCAGUCUUCUGAACACCAAGAAGAAGCUGGAGGCUGACUUUGUUCAGGUUCAGGGUGAAGUGGAUGAUGCUGUUCAAGAAGCAAGAAAUGCAGAGGAGAAAGCCAAGAAGGCCAUUACUGAUGCUGCCAUGAUGGCUGAGGAGCUAAAGAAGGAGCAGGACACCAGCUCUCAUCUGGAGAGGAUGAAGAAGAACCUGGAGGUCACAGUGAAGGACCUGCAGCACCGUCUGGAUGAAGCUGAGAACCUGGCUAUGAAGGGUGGAAAGAAGCAGCUCCAGAAACUGGAGUCCAGGGUGCGUGAAUUAGAGGCUGAAGUUGAAACUGAGCAAAGACGUGGAGCUGAUGCGGUUAAAGGCGUUCGCAAAUAUGAAAGAAGAGUGAAGGAGCUCACAUACCAGACUGAGGAGGACAAGAAAAAUGUAAGCAGACUCCAGGAUCUGGUGGAUAAGUUACAGCUCAAAGUAAAGGCCUAUAAGAGACAGGCUGAAGAGGCUGAGGAGCAGGCCAACACCCAUAUGGCCAGACUUAGAAAAGUCCAGCAUGAACUUGAGGAAGCUCAGGAACGUGCCGACAUCGCAGAGACCCAAGUCAACAAGCUGAGAGCCAAAAGUCGUGAUAUUGGAAAGGGUACAGACUCAGCUGAGUAACAGUCAAGAUCCCCUGGGACAGAGACAGAUUCAUAUAAUAUGAACCCCCUCUGUUCAUCUUUAGCUUAUAAAUAAAUGAACUA
Oryzias latipes (Japanese medaka) is the source of this 5985-nucleotide non-coding RNA. NCBI's taxonomy places the organism in Eukaryota, Metazoa, Chordata, Actinopteri, Beloniformes, Adrianichthyidae. The record is from RefSeq and is a predicted model, not a curated record.